Molecule: transfer RNA, 85 nt
Filed under: Alphaproteobacteria bacterium
Lineage: Bacteria; Pseudomonadati; Pseudomonadota; Alphaproteobacteria
Description: tRNA-Leu
Rfam family: tRNA
About the family: Transfer RNA (tRNA) molecules are approximately 80 nucleotides in length. Their secondary structure includes four short double-helical elements and three loops (D, anti-codon, and T loops).
Source: RNAcentral
GCGGCUGUGGUGGAACUGGUAGACACGCAUGCCUUAGGAGCAUGUGCCUUACGGCGUGGGGGUUCGAGUCCCUCCAGCCGCACCA